GCGUUCGCGCACUAAGACGAUAAAGAAGAAGACCGCAGUGUCAAGUUGUAUCAAAGUGAAGAGGUUCCCAAAUUCCUUGCAGUAAUGAUUGAAAGGAAGAAGAAAAGAGCCAGAAAGAAGGAGAGUUAUUUUGAGACUGUAAAAGAUGUAGAAAGUACGCAUGAAGAGAAAGUUAGGGUUUCUCCUUAUUUUCAGACUCAGAAACCGGAAAUUGACAGUAUUUCUAAUUCUGCUCUUCAAGAUUGGAAUGGGGAAAAGGGGAAAAAGAAGAAGAAGAAGAAGAAGAAGAAGAAUAAGAGACUCAUUUCUUCGACUUUUGUUGAAAAUGAUACAAUUGCCCCUGUUCUUCUUGGAAAGAAACCAGAGAAUUUUGUUAAUGCGGAAGACAGGGAGAAGAUAAAGAGGAGGAAAAGGGACAAUGGUCCUAUUCAGUCAGACGGGGAUAGGGAUUUGGGGAUGAAAGAACAAGUAAAUGCGGCUCCUAAUACGAUAAAGAGUUUCGAAGACAUGCUUGCGAAAUUUGUAUACAGAGGAGGCGUUGUUAGGGACAAGAAGAUUCCAAAGCCACGAGUUUGCUCUCCCUAUUUUGUAAAAGUUGAGAAAAAUGUGGAGAGAAAGAAAGAGGGUGACAAUAACAUGAAGAAGGAAGUAAAGGGCAUGGCUGCUAUAAUUGAUGGAAACUUGGAAAGUCAAGUGUUAGAAAUUGGGGAUAUAUCAACCACCGGGAGACCAACGGAGAUUGAAACACAUGCACAGCAGCAAGUCGGAAUCAAUGAGAGAGAGCUAAUGAAAAUCAAACCUCUGAAACCAUGUGGAAGAGCUGGUCGUGCAGCUAAAAAUAUUUCCCCCUACUUCCAGAAGGUACCCAAGGAAGAAGAAGAUGUGGAUAACAGGACUGACAAUGAAUAUAGGCCGAAAAAAUCAUCAAAGAAGUGCAAAAAUGCAUCUGUAGGUGCUGAUCCCACUGUUGGAUAUGUCUCCCCCUACUUUCAUAAGAUACCCAGAAAGGAAGAAGCUAUAGACAACAACCACGAGCAGAGGAAGACAUCAAGGAAGAGAAAAACUGGUGCUACAAUUCAAAAUGUGUCGCCAUACUUCAAGAAGGUAUCCAAUGAACAAGAAGCUGAAGCUAGCAGCUUGAUUGACGGCAAACGUAAGCGGAAAAAGUCAUCAAAGAAAAACAAAGAAGAACCAUGUGAAAUAGCUGGUCCUACAGUUCGAAAUGUCUCCCCCUAUUUCCACAAGGAAGAAGCAGCAGAUAGUAACAAUGGGCAAAAACAGUCAUCAAAGGGAAGAAAAAGAUCAGCUAGGACCAGCAUUGUUCUAACUGCUUCCGAAAAGAGAAGCGAAGCUUAUCUAAGGAAAACACCAGAUAACACAUGGAAGCCACCUCAAUCUGAACAUGGGCUUCUGCAAGAGAAUCAUGCACAUGAUCCCUGGAGAGUGUUGGUGAUAUGCAUGCUCCUUAAUUGCACGACUGGUACACAGGUGAACCAGAAUAAUUUUGUCCUCCAUAAGCAGCAGCCCGUGAAUUUGUGUUACCAAUCAGUUCCAUAAAUGGUUUUCUGGCACCAUAAUGGAAAACUCGCUUUUUUAGCGGCUAAAGCAUGUUGAUGAGCAUCCUCUAUAUUGUGUAAACAAACUACUCCCGCCUCAUCUCUAAUAGACUGACUUAAACUGGUUCGGAGAGUUAUAGAAGAUCUCUUCACUUUAUGUCCCAGUGCAGAGGCUGCCAUUAACGUCAUGAAAGAGGAGAUUGAAAGAAUAAUAGAACCUCUGGGCUUGCAGAAGAAGAGGGCAGUGAUGAUACAACGCAUGUCUCAGGAGUAUUUGGAAGAUCACUGGACCCAUGUUACCCAGCUGCAUGGCGUGGGAAAGUAUGCUGCUGAUGCGUAUGCAAUAUUCUGUACGGGGAAGUGGGAUCAGGUGCGUCCCGCUGAUCACAUGCUAAAUUAUUACUGGGAGUUUCUAGGUAGAAUCAACAAUGCUUCAUCGUAGAUAUUAUUUUUGUUUAUUUAAGUUAAUUUGAUUUUUGAUGUAAAUAUAGAUCCCUCUUAACUUUUGGGUAGUGUUAGAAAGGAAGGAAGGUUAUUUUUUUGAAGGGGAAUUCUUUCAAUUCAUGAGGAUAGGACUUGAUGAAUUUUUGUUGGUAAAUGAGGAAUAGGACUUACUUUUGCUUAACGCCACAAUCUCUGACAUAUGAACUCCUCUCAAAAACUGUAGAGGAUAGAGGGAGUUGUAGUGUCAGUCAAUGCAACAUAAAAUUCCUAUUUUGAGGCAAAAUUUGUUGAUGUAUUGAAUUUAUUUAUAAACCAAUGUUAAAUGUCACCCAAAAAUUCUAGGAAUUUUUUGAUGUAUAAAACAAAUAUUGUGACA
Jatropha curcas is the source of this 2376-nucleotide non-coding RNA. Lineage: Eukaryota; Viridiplantae; Streptophyta; Magnoliopsida; Malpighiales; Euphorbiaceae. The record is from RefSeq and is a predicted model, not a curated record.